RNAcentral lists this long non-coding RNA (975 nucleotides) under Nicotiana tabacum (common tobacco). Its description in RNAcentral is "long non-coding RNA (NTAB_LNC005156)". The record is from RNAcentral. Lineage: Eukaryota; Viridiplantae; Streptophyta; Magnoliopsida; Solanales; Solanaceae.
UCGAAUGUCCUCAAGUUGUGGUUGAACUAUUUUGUGGUAAAACACCAAGGUUUGUGUAUAAACUUUGUACUCUUUUUACUUGCUGGAAUAUUUUAAAAUAACCUGAUAUUUUAUUUUUCUUGUCUUCAAUUAAUAGCAUUGUAUUCGUGUUAUAUCAAGUAUUGCAAUAUAUUUGCUAAAUCACCCACUCGUACAGAUUGUUUGAUCAUUUUACAUUCUUGUUGGGACUUUGUCCUUCUUAUGGCAGUGACUUUGUCACUCAUCUUGGCAUGCCUCUUGAUUUGGAUCUUUUGCCAUUUUGACUUUGGAUUUGUAGUUCGUCUUAAAUUAUGGAACUUGUCUCUGUUAAGUAUAAACUAGAAAGCCAUUUUUAAUAUGGUUCUUGAUUCUCUUGACUAUUGGGUUUUGACCCUGCUUGAUUUGGGACUUCGGUCCAUCUUGAUAUCUGAUUAUGCUUAGUGUGAUGGCAUGAUGUACAUAUUGGGCGAAAAAUGGAUAUUUAACAAGCUUUCUUGUAUUGAUAGUAUACGCUUUCUAAACUCUUGAAUCUUGAACAUUGUUAUUGAUAUUUGGAAACACUUUAAGAGUUGAUAUUUGAUACUUUAGAUAUAUUUGUUCGCUUGUUUUAAAUUAUAUUUCAUUUGAGCUACCUAUGACUGAAAAUAGGAAUUGGAGAAGUUAAUGGCUCCAAGCCCAAAGUUUAUACGCCACUAAGCUUUAUGCUUAGCGAUAGUUGUUUUCUAUCUUAGGUAAUGUACGGGAUGAAAUUUGAAGACGACCUUAUGAAGUAGUCUUUUUGGGAGAACUUAUGAAGAUCACAUUUGUAUAUGCACCAUGAUUUUGUAUAGUUUUGGGACUUGUACAUGAUAUAUAUAUGUCACACCUAUGUAUGUUAUUUGGAGGCUUGGAUAUUAAGACCAAAAUUUUGUAACUUGAAUUUGGUAACUUAUUUUGUUGUUUUAAGGUGUGUUAAUA